AAGCAAGCGUGACUUUUUCUACCAUGUCCAGAAGUGUAGCUCUGGUGUUUUUGCUCAUUUUUGUCAUCCAACUUUUUGAUAAUGAUGCAGAUGCAACUCUUGAUAUACCCAUGAAGUACGUACGCCGCUGCAGAUGCAAGGGUAUUUCAACUGUCAGCCGUAAAAUGAAAUGCCCCAUUCCACUCGUGCCCCUCAAACACAAGGACAAACUGGAGCUGUACCAAUGCCUCUGC
Long non-coding RNA from Periophthalmus magnuspinnatus, 233 nucleotides. RefSeq lists it as uncharacterized. Lineage: Eukaryota; Metazoa; Chordata; Actinopteri; Gobiiformes; Gobiidae. The transcript is spliced from 3 exons. The record is from RefSeq and is a predicted model, not a curated record.